Molecule: ribosomal RNA, 458 nt
Filed under: uncultured Clostridium sp.
Lineage: Bacteria; Bacillati; Bacillota; Clostridia; Eubacteriales; Clostridiaceae
Description: bacterial SSU rRNA
Rfam family: Bacterial small subunit ribosomal RNA
Source: RNAcentral
CCCGCACAAGCAGCGGAGCAUGUGGUUAAUUCGAAGCAACGCGAAGAACCUUACCUAGACUUGACAUCUCCUGAAUUACCCGUAACUGGGGAAGCUCUUCGGAGCAGGAAGACAGGUGGUGCAUGGUUGUCGUCAGCUCGUGUCGUGAGAUGUUGGGUUAAGUCCCGCAACGAGCGCAACCCUUAUCGUUAGUUGCUACCAUUAGGUUGAGCACUCUAGCGAGACUGCCCGGGUUAACCGGGAGGAAGGUGGGGAUGACGUCAAAUCAUCAUGCCCCUUAUGUCUAGGGCUACACACGUGCUACAAUGGUGAGGACAAAGAGACGCAAGACCGCGAGGUGGAGCAAAUCUCACAAACCUCAUCCCAGUUCGGAUUGCAGGCUGAAACUCGCCUGCAUGAAGCCGGAGUUGCUAGUAAUCGCGAAUCAGCAUGUCGCGGUGAAUACGUUCCCGGGCCUU